GAUGAACGCUAGCGGCAGGCCUAAUACAUGCAAGACGAACGGUAAGUUGAGUAGCAAUACUUAGCCAAGAGUGUCGUACGGGUACGUAACACGUAUGCAACCUACCCUAUACAGGAGGAUAGCCUAGGGAAACCUGGAUUAACCCUUCAUAGUAUUAUUGGAUGGCAUCAUUUGAUAAUUAAAACUGAGGUGGUAUAGGAUGGGCAUGCGUCUGAUUAGUUAGUUGGCGGGGUAAUGGCCCACCAAGACGAUGAUCAGUAGGGGUUCUGAGAGGAAGAUCCCCCACACUGGCACUGAGAUACGGGCCAGACUCCUACGGGAGGCAGCAGUAGGGAAUAUUGGUCAAUGGAUGCAAGUCUGAACCAGCCAUGCCGCGUGCAGGAAGAAAGGGCCCUUUCUGGGGUUGUAAAACUGCUUUUUGCCCAAGGGGAUAAAAUUUCCAUGCGUGGAAAACUGAAGGUACCUGGUGAAUAAGCCCAGGCUAAACUACGUGACCAGCAGCCGCGGU
Molecule: ribosomal RNA, 508 nt
Filed under: uncultured bacterium
Lineage: Bacteria
Description: bacterial SSU rRNA
Rfam family: Bacterial small subunit ribosomal RNA
Source: RNAcentral